UGGUCAUUUCAAAAACUUAUGAGGCUGUGAAACCAAGAACUCUUAACACUAUGACCAAAGAUUGGAGUUCUCCAUAGGUUGCCAUAGUCACUCGAGUGCUAGUUUUCCUGAGGAACCAUAAGA
Molecule: small nucleolar RNA, 123 nt
Filed under: Microcebus murinus (gray mouse lemur)
Lineage: Eukaryota; Metazoa; Chordata; Mammalia; Primates; Cheirogaleidae
Description: Small nucleolar RNA SNORA25 (ENSMICG00000025563.3)
Rfam family: Small nucleolar RNA SNORA25
About the family: ACA25 is a member of the H/ACA class of snoRNA that guide the sites of modification of uridines to pseudouridines.
Source: Rfam by way of RNAcentral